UAGGGAAUCUUCGGCAAUGGGGGCAACCCUGACCGAGCAACGCCGCGUGAGUGAAGAAGGUUUUCGGAUCGUAAAGCUCUGUUGUAAGAGAAGAACGUGUGUGAGAGUGGAAAGUUCACACAGUGACGGUAACUUACCAGAAAGGGACGGCUAACUACGUGCCAGCAGCCGCGGUAAUACGUAGGUCCCGAGCGGUGUCCGGAUUUAUUGGGCGUAAAGCGAGCGCAGGCGGUUUAAUAAGUCUGAAGUUAAAGGCAGUGGCUUAACCAUUGUUCGCUUUGGAAACUGUUAGACUUGAGUGCAGAAGGGGAGAGUGGAAUUCCAUGUGUAGCGUUGAAAUGCGUAGAUAUAUGGAGGAACACCGGUGGCGAAAGCGGCUCUCUGGUCUGUAACUGACGCUGAGGCUCGAAAGCGUGGGGAGCAAACAGG
This 429-nucleotide ribosomal RNA is filed under the name bacterium. Its description in RNAcentral is "partial 16S ribosomal RNA". It matches the Rfam family "Bacterial small subunit ribosomal RNA", at positions 355 to 776 of the family's 1533-position model. The record is from RNAcentral.